This 716-nucleotide ribosomal RNA is filed under the name uncultured bacterium. RNAcentral's name for it is "bacterial SSU rRNA". It matches the Rfam family "Bacterial small subunit ribosomal RNA", at positions 61 to 777 of the family's 1533-position model. The record is from RNAcentral.
GUCGAGUGGAGCGGUCUUGAUGAAGUUUUCGGAUGGAAUCAGGAUUGUCUUACCGGCGGACGGGUGAGUAACACGUGGAUAACCUGCCUUAUACUGGGGGAUAACAGCCAGAAAUGGCUGCUAAUACCGCAUAAGCGCACGGCGCCGCAUGGCGCAGUGUGAAAAACUCCGGUGGUAUAAGAUGGAUCCGCGCCUGAUUAGCUAGUUGGCGGGGCAGCGGCCCACCAAGGCGACGAUCAGUAGCCGGCCUGAGAGGGCGACCGGCCACAUUGGGACUGAGACACGGCCCAAACUCCUACGGGAGGCAGCAGUGGGGAAUAUUGCACAAUGGGGGGAACCCUGAUGCAGCGACGCCGCGUGAGUGAAGAAGUAUUUCGGUAUGUAAAGCUCUAUCAGCAGGGAAGAAGAUGACGGUACCUGACUAAGAAGCCCCGGCUAACUACGUGCCAGCAGCCGCGGUAAUACGUAGGGGGCAAGCGUUAUCCGGAUUUACUGGGUGUAAAGGGAGCGUAGACGGCAGGGCAAGUCUGGAGUGAAAGCCCGGGGCCCAACCCCGGGACUGCUUUGGAAACUGCCAUGCUGGAGUGCUGGAGAGGUAAGCGGAAUUCCUAGUGUAGCGGUGAAAUGCGUAGAUAUUAGGAGGAACACCAGUGGCGAAGGCGGCUUACUGGACAGUAACUGACGUUGAGGCUCGAAAGCGUGGGGAGCAAACAGGA